UUUGAUCCUGGCUCAGAUUGAACGCUGGCGGCAUGCCUUACACAUGCAAGUCGAACGGUAACGCGGGGCAACCUGGCGACGAGUGGCGAACGGGUGAGUAAUAUAUCGGAACGUGCCCAAUCGUGGGGGAUAACGUAGAGAAAUUUACGCUAAUACCGCAUACGAUCUAAGGAUGAAAGCGGGGGAUCGCAAGACCUCGCGCGAUUGGAGCGGCUGAUAUCAGAUUAGGUUGUUGGUGAGGUAAAAGCUCACCAAGCCGACGAUCUGUAGCUGGUUUGAGAGAACGACCAGCCACACUGGGACUGAGACACGGCCCAGACUCCUACGGGAGGCAGCAGUGGGGAAUUUUGGACAAUGGGCGAAAGCCUGAUCCAGCAAUGCCGCGUGCAGGAAGAAGGCCUUCGGGUUGUAAACUGCUUUUGUACGGAACGAAACGGCUCUUUCUAAUAAAGAGGGCUAAUGACGGUACCGUAAGAAUAAGCACC
RNAcentral lists this ribosomal RNA (485 nucleotides) under denitrifying bacterium W45b. RNAcentral describes it as "bacterial SSU rRNA". It matches the Rfam family "Bacterial small subunit ribosomal RNA", at positions 12 to 494 of the family's 1533-position model. Lineage: Bacteria; Pseudomonadati; Pseudomonadota; Betaproteobacteria. The record is from RNAcentral.